CCCUUAGAUGUUCUGGGCCGCACGCGCGUUACACUGAUGCAUUCAACGAGCUUAUAACCUUGGCCGAGAGGCCUGGGCAAUCUUGUUAACGUGCAUCGUGAUAGGGAUAGAUUAUUGAAAUUAUUAAUCUUGAACGAGGAAUUCCUAGUAAACGCAGAUCAUCAAUCUGCAUUGAUUACGUCCCUGCCCUUUGUACACACCGCCCGUCGCACCUACCGAUUGGGUGUGCUGGUGAAAUGUUCGGAUCGGCCGUUUGUCGCGGUUUCCGCGUCAUGUGGCUGAGAAGUUCAUUAAACCCUCCCACCUAGAGGAAGGAGAAGUCGUAACA
Molecule: ribosomal RNA, 328 nt
Filed under: uncultured eukaryote
Lineage: Eukaryota
Description: partial 18S ribosomal RNA
Rfam family: Eukaryotic small subunit ribosomal RNA
Source: RNAcentral